This 491-nucleotide ribosomal RNA is filed under the name uncultured bacterium. RNAcentral describes it as "partial 16S ribosomal RNA". It matches the Rfam family "Bacterial small subunit ribosomal RNA", at positions 28 to 507 of the family's 1533-position model. The record is from RNAcentral.
GAUGAACGCUGGCGACAGGCUUAACACAUGCAAGUCGAGGGGAAACGACGGGGAAGCUUGCUUCCCCGGGCGUCGACCGGCGCACGGGUGAGUAACGCGUAUCCAACCUGCCUCUGACUGAGGGAUAACCCGUCGAAAGUCAGCCUAAAACCCCAUGGUAGCGUCUGCGGGCAUCUAACGAAAAUGAAAGAUUUCGUCGGUCAGGGUUGGGGUGACGUCUGAUUAGCUUGUUGGCGGGGUAACGGCCCACCAAGGCUACGAUCAGUAGGGGUUCUGAGAGGAAGGUCCCCCACAUUGGAACUGAGACACGGGCCAAACCCCUACGGGAGGCAGCAGUGAGGAAUAUUGGGCAAUGGGCGAGAGCCUGAACCCGCCAAGUCGCGUGCAGGAAGACGGCCCUAUGGGUUGUAAACUGCUUUUAUGCGGUGAUAAAGUGAGGGACGUGUCCCUCAUUGAAGGUACCGCAUGAAUAAGGACCGGCUAAUUCCGUG